This 1455-nucleotide ribosomal RNA is filed under the name uncultured Enhydrobacter sp. RNAcentral describes it as "bacterial SSU rRNA". It matches the Rfam family "Bacterial small subunit ribosomal RNA". Lineage: Bacteria; Pseudomonadati; Pseudomonadota; Alphaproteobacteria; Hyphomicrobiales. The record is from RNAcentral.
GGGCUUAACACAUGCAAGUCGAACGAUGACUCUCUAGCUCGCUAGAGAAGAAUUAGUUGGCGGACGGGUGAGUAACAUUUAGGAAUCUGCCUAGUAGUGGGGGAUAGCUCGGGGAAACUCGAAUUAAUACCGCAUACGACCUACGGGUGAAAGGGGGCGCAAGCUCUUGCUAUUAGAUGAGCCUAAAUCAGAUUAGCUAGUUGGUGGGGUAAAGGCCCACCAAGGCGACGAUCUGUAACUGGUCUGAGAGGAUGAUCAGUCACACCGGAACUGAGACACGGUCCGGACUCCUACGGGAGGCAGCAGUGGGGAAUAUUGGACAAUGGGGGCAACCCUGAUCCAGCCAUGCCGCGUGUGUGAAGAAGGCCUUUUGGUUGUAAAGCACUUUAAGCAGGGAGGAGAGGCUAAUGGUUAAUACCCAUUAGAUUAGACGUUACCUGCAGAAUAAGCACCGGCUAACUCUGUGCCAGCAGCCGCGGUAAUACAGAGGGUGCGAGCGUUAAUCGGAAUUACUGGGCGUAAAGCGAGUGUAGGUGGCUCAUUAAGUCACAUGUGAAAUCCCCGGGCUUAACCUGGGAACUGCAUGUGAUACUGGUGGUGCUAGAAUAUGUGAGAGGGAAGUAGAAUUCCAGGUGUAGCGGUGAAAUGCGUAGAGAUCUGGAGGAAUACCGAUGGCGAAGCAGCUUCCUGGCAUAAUAUUGACACUGAGAUUCGAAAGCGUGGGUAGCAAACAGGAUUAGAUACCCUGGUAGUCCACGCCGUAAACGAUGUCUACUAGCCGUUGGGGUCCUUGAGACUUUAGUGGCGCAGUUAACGCGAUAAGUAGACCGCCUGGGGAGUACGGCCGCAAGGUUAAAACUCAAAUGAAUUGACGGGGGCCCGCACAAGCGGUGGAGCAUGUGGUUUAAUUCGAUGCAACGCGAAGAACCUUACCUGGUCUUGACAUAGUGAGAAUCCUGCAGAGAUGCGGGAGUGCCUUCGGGAAUUCACAUACAGGUGCUGCAUGGCUGUCGUCAGCUCGUGUCGUGAGAUGUUGGGUUAAGUCCCGCAACGAGCGCAACCCUUUUCCUUAUUUGCCAGUGGGUUAAGCCGGGAACUUUAAGGAUACUGCCAGUGACAAACUGGAGGAAGGCGGGGACGACGUCAAGUCAUCAUGGCCCUUACGACCAGGGCUACACACGUGCUACAAUGGUAGGUACAGAGGGUUUCUACACAGCGAUGUGAUGCUAAUCUCAAAAAGCCUAUCGUAGUCCGGAUUGGAGUCUGCAACUCGACUCCAUGAAGUCGGAAUCGCUAGUAAUCGCGGAUCAGAAUGCCGCGGUGAAUACGUUCCCGGGCCUUGUACACACCGCCCGUCACACCAUGGGAGUCUAUUGCACCAGAAGUAGGUAGCCUAACGAAAGAGGGCGCUUACCACGGUGUGGUCGAUGACUGGGGUGAAGUCGUAACAAGGUA